GCCUACGGGCGGCAGCAGUGGGGAAUAUUGGACAAUGGGCGAAAGCCUGAUCCAGCCAUGCCGCGUGUGUGAAGAAGGCCUUCGGGUUGUAAAGCACUUUCAGUGGGGAAGAAAGCCUUGGGGCUAAUACCCUCGAGGAAGGACAUCACCCACAGAAGAAGCACCGGCUAACUCCGUGCCAGCAGCCGCGGUAAUACGGAGGGUGCGAGCGUUAAUCGGAAUUACUGGGCGUAAAGCGCGCGUAGGCGGUCUGAUAAGCCGGUUGUGAAAGCCCCGGGCUCAACCUGGGAACGGCAUCCGGAACUGUCAGGCUAGAGUGCAGGAGAGGAAGGUAGAAUUCCCGGUGUAGCAGUGAAAUGCGUAGAGAUCGGGAGGAAUACCAGUGGCGAAGGCGGCCUUCUGGACUGACACUGACGCUGAGGUGCGAAAGCGUGGGUAGCAAACAGGAUUAGAUACCCGUGUAGUC
This 466-nucleotide ribosomal RNA is filed under the name Vreelandella stevensii. RNAcentral describes it as "partial 16S ribosomal RNA". It matches the Rfam family "Bacterial small subunit ribosomal RNA", at positions 337 to 795 of the family's 1533-position model. The record is from RNAcentral. Lineage: Bacteria; Pseudomonadati; Pseudomonadota; Gammaproteobacteria; Oceanospirillales; Halomonadaceae.